GCGCUCGUAGCUCAGCUGGAUAGAGUACCUGGCUACGAACCAGGCGGUCAGAGGUUCGAAUCCUCUCGACGCGCCA
This 76-nucleotide transfer RNA is filed under the name Vibrio cholerae O139. RNAcentral describes it as "tRNA-Arg". It matches the Rfam family "tRNA". Rfam says of the family: Transfer RNA (tRNA) molecules are approximately 80 nucleotides in length. Their secondary structure includes four short double-helical elements and three loops (D, anti-codon, and T loops). Further hydrogen bonds mediate the characteristic L-shaped molecular structure. tRNAs have two regions of fundamental functional importance: the anti-codon, which is responsible for specific mRNA codon recognition, and the 3' end, to which the tRNAs corresponding amino acid is attached (by aminoacyl-tRNA synthetases). tRNAs cope with the degeneracy of the genetic code in two manners: having more than one tRNA (with a specific anti-codon) for a particular amino acid; and 'wobble' base-pairing, i.e. permitting non-standard base-pairing at the 3rd anti-codon position. The record is from RNAcentral. Lineage: Bacteria; Pseudomonadati; Pseudomonadota; Gammaproteobacteria; Vibrionales; Vibrionaceae.